AAAUGAAUUACAGGGCAAGAUCUCUAUUGGCAGUUUUUCACUAUGCAUGAUAUAUGAUUAUGCAUGCAUCUCACCCAUGCAUGAAAUAAUUCAUUUUAGUGUGUAAACCUGCCAAAGGAGAUUUGCCCAGCGAUUCUCAU
Lupinus albus (white lupine) is the source of this 140-nucleotide non-coding RNA. The record is from the annotation of a GenBank genome assembly. NCBI's taxonomy places the organism in Eukaryota, Viridiplantae, Streptophyta, Magnoliopsida, Fabales, Fabaceae.